GCCAAACAGCUAGCUUAAUUACUAAUUUUAACUAACCAAUAUAAAUAAAAAAACAUGACUCAACAACAACAAUUAAAUCAUUUUUACACCUAAGUAUGGGAGACAGAAAAGGUACCCCCCAAAGCAAUAGAAAAAGUACCGCAAGGGAAAGCUGAAAGAGAAGUGAAAUAACCCAUAUAAGCACUAAAAAACAAAGAUUAAACCUUGUACCUUUUGCAUCAUGAUUUAGCCAGUACACCCAAGCAAAGAGAACUCUAGUUUGAAACCCCGAAACCAGGUGAGCUACCCCGAGACAGCCUAUGUAAACAGGGCUAACCCGUCUCUGUGGCAAAAGAGUGGGAAGAGCUCCGGGUAGAAGUGACAGACCUACCGAACCUGGUGAUAGCUGGUUGCCUGAGAAAUGGAUAGAAGUUCAGCCCCGUGCACCCCCAAACCAAAACGCCAGAUUUAAGGUGAAACUAAGGGAAAUACACGAGAGUUAGUUAAAGGGGGUACAGCCCCUUUAACAAAGGACACAACCUUAACAGAAGGAUAAAGAUCAUAAUAAUUAAGACAGGCUGUUUUAGUGGGCCUAAAAGCAGCCAUCUAAACAGAAAGCGUUAAAGCUCAAACAGCAAAAACUUUAUUAUACCGAUAAAAAAUCUUAUUCCCCUAGUACUAUCAGGCUAAUCCAUACCACUAUGGAAGAAAUUAUGCUAAAAUGAGUAACAAGAAGACUCGCUCUUCUCCGAGCACAAGUGCAAGCCAGAUCGGACAAACCGCUGGAAAAUAACGAACCCAACCAAAGAGGGCACUGUGAAAAACAUGAAAAGCAAGGAAACCCCACAGAAACUGAUCGUUAACCCCACACUGGAGUGCUAUUUUAAAGGAAAGACUAAAAGAAAGGGAAGGAACUCGGCAAACACAAGCCUCGCCUGUUUACCAAAAACAUCGCCUCCUGCAACUAAGUUAAGUAUAGGAGGUCCAGCCUGCCCAGUGACUAUAAGUUCAACGGCCGCGGUAUUUUGACCGUGCAAAGGUAGCGCAAUCACUUGUCUUUUAAAUGGAGACCUGUAUGAAUGGCCAAACGAGGGCUUAACUGUCUCCCCCUUCCAGUCAGUGAAAUUGAUCUACCCGUGCAGAAGCGGGUAUAAUUCUACAAGACGAGAAGACCCUUUGGAGCUUAAGGUAUAAAGACUAACCACGUUAAACAACUACAUGAAAAGGAAGAACCUAGUGGAAGAUAGAACUUUACCUUCGGUUGGGGCGACCACGGGGGAAAAACCAGCCUCCGAGUGGAAUGGGCUACAUCCCUAAAACCAAGAGAAACAUCUCUAAGGCACAGAACAUCUGACCAAACAUGAUCCGGCCUCAUGGCCGAUCAACGAACCAAGUUACCCUAGGGAUAACAGCGCAAUCCUCUCCCAGAGUCCAUAUCGACGAGGGGGUUUACGACCUCGAUGUUGGAUCAGGACAUCCUAAUGGUGCAGCCGCUAUUAAGGGUUCGUUUGUUCAACGAUUAAAGUCCUACGUGAUCUGAGUUCAGACCGGAGUAAUCCAGGUCAGUUUCUAUCUGUAAAGCUACUUUUCCUAGUACGAAAGGAUCGGAAAAGAGGGGCCCAUACUUAAAGCACGCCCCACCCCUAAUCAAUGAAAACAAAUAAAUUAAACAAAGGGAGGGCCAAACCCUGCCGCCCAAAAUAAGGGCAU
This 1689-nucleotide ribosomal RNA is filed under the name Abbottina obtusirostris (Chinese false gudgeon). Its description in RNAcentral is "16S ribosomal RNA". The stretch from base 94 to 1606 matches the Rfam family "Bacterial large subunit ribosomal RNA". The record is from RNAcentral. Lineage: Eukaryota; Metazoa; Chordata; Actinopteri; Cypriniformes; Gobionidae.